RNAcentral lists this ribosomal RNA (217 nucleotides) under uncultured bacterium. Its description in RNAcentral is "partial 16S ribosomal RNA". It matches the Rfam family "Bacterial small subunit ribosomal RNA", at positions 1284 to 1500 of the family's 1533-position model. The record is from RNAcentral.
UGUCUCAGUUCGGAUCGGAGUCUGCAACUCGACUCCGUGAAGCUGGAUUCGCUAGUAAUCGCGGAUCAGAAUGCCGCGGUGAAUACGUUCCCGGGUCUUGUACACACCGCCCGUCACACCAUGGGAGUCGGAAAUGCCCGAAGUCUGUGACCCAACCUCAGGGAGGGAGCAGCCGAAGGCAGGUCGGAUGACUGGGGUGAAGUCGUAACAAGGUACC